UUUUACACUGGAAAAAAUAAGCUGCAUAGGAAGAUUAGGCAAUGUAUUAGCUGUGAGAGUACAAAUAGUUUGCUUCUGUUGUUGAUGUAAUUGGUUUUUCCAGAUUUGCAUAACCUCCACUUGAAUUCUCUUAAAAUACUGAAUGUGCUGGAAUGGUACGCUGUCCAAAUCCCAAGUGGUAACUGUGUUCAUCCCACAACCACUGAUUUCUAGCAGCACCGAGCUGAGUAACUGUAGUGAAGAGGUCAAAAGUAUAUAAAGAAUGACAAGUUUUCAAGAUACCUGGAGGACCUGGUAAACCUUCCCGACCUGGAUCACCUCGUGUACCAUUUAGCCCUGGGAAUCCCAUUGGACCUGGAUCACCUGGGAAUCCUCUUGCACCUUUUGCACCUAAAUUAUAUGAAAGAAAGACCAGGAAAUCCAACUUGACCCGAAAAACCCUGGUGUUACAUGCAAUGAAAUAAAGAAGAAACAGAACCACUUAAGAAACAGAAAAGCUUCUGUAAAUUAUUCCUUCUUUAGUAAUCCCAUGCUGGCCAGGAGUUCCUGGAAAGCCAGGAGGGCCAGGGGGACCAGUAGAGCCCCUUCUCCUUUCCUCGUCCAAAAGGCAUGUACUGCAAUCCCCUUCUUCACCUAAGGAAAGGAUUGGAAAGAGAAGAAAGAAUGGGGCUCCAGCAGGACCAGGUGGACCACGGAGUCCUGGUGUGCCAUGUUUACCCGGAAAGCCAGGCGGGCCUGCCUGAUAAGCAGGAGAUCCUGAUUCACCUUUUUCACCUUUCGGUCCCAUUUCUCCAGGAAUGCAUGGAUGCCUUUUGAUUAGCAAUCCAGCUUCAGCAGGACAGACAAAAAAGCCACCUGCCUGCAGAACAGUGAUCAGAGCACUCUCUUGGAAGGCAAUUAUACCUUCUGGAACAGUUCAGCCAACCAGUCUUUUAAGGAGUCAAAUCCUCAGAAUUUCAUGCUUUUGAUCUAUGUAGAAGGUAGU
Neopsephotus bourkii (Bourke's parrot) is the source of this 985-nucleotide long non-coding RNA. RefSeq lists it as uncharacterized. Lineage: Eukaryota; Metazoa; Chordata; Aves; Psittaciformes; Psittacidae. The record is from RefSeq and is a predicted model, not a curated record. The transcript has 6 exons.